UGCGGAAGGAUCAUUACAAAAAGCCCCACCGGCGCCCUCGGUAUUGCCCGGGCUGGCUCGGGUGGGGGGCGCCGCGCCCGCCGCGGCGCCUAAAAACCCACUCCCCGCGUACACAUCCCUGUUGCUUCCCCGGGAAGGCGCUCGCCGCCCGGGGGAGGACCCACCCGGAGCACACGAUGCCGACCAACGCACCCCGUCCACCCCCCCGUCCCACCCGUCUGAAGGCCAGCGUGGCCAUGGAGGAGUAGGAGCGAGCGAGCGACGAGACCAACGCAAAAAACUUUCAACAACGGAUCUCUUGGUUCCCGCAUCGAUGAAGAACGCAGCGAAAUGCGAUAAGUAAUGUGAAUUGCAGAAUUCAGUGAAUCAUCGAAUCUUUGAACGCACAUUGCGCCCCCUGGCAUUCCGGGGGGCAUGCCUGUUCGAGCGUCUCCGGGACGAACACUCACGCGAGCUAAAUGCGUGGUUGUGGCGGCGGUGGCGGCCCCAGGCGGGAGGCCACCCCGGCGGAAUCGAUGGGCGGAUGACCGCCGCGUCGCAGAGCGUGAUAUUCUUUGCUUAUCGCCUCGAGCGCGGAGAGGCUGCCAGCCCUGGCCCAGACGCCUGUCGCGUCGCCGAGCGCGGUACCUUGGUAUCCCCUCGGGCACCGCAAGGCUGCCAGACCCUUGCCACGUGCGGGGGCCUGGGAGGCUGGGAUUACAUGACAUUGGAACUCCU
RNAcentral lists this ribosomal RNA (717 nucleotides) under Helvella lacunosa. Its description in RNAcentral is "eukaryotic LSU rRNA". The stretch from base 279 to 432 matches the Rfam family "5.8S ribosomal RNA". The record is from RNAcentral. Lineage: Eukaryota; Fungi; Ascomycota; Pezizomycetes; Pezizales; Helvellaceae.